UACGAAGGGGGCUAGCGUUGCUCGGAAUCACUGGGCGUAAAGGGUGCGUAGGCGGUUUUCUAAGUCAGAGGUGAAAUCCUGGAGCUCAACUCCAGAACUGCCUUUGAUACUGGAAGUCUUGAGUAUGGGAGAGGUGAGUGGAACUGCGAGUGUAGAGGUGAAAUUCGUAGAUAUUCGCAAGAACACCAGUGGCGAAGGCGGCUCACUGGCCCAUAACUGACGCUGAGGCACGAAAGCGUGGGGAGCAAACAGG
RNAcentral lists this ribosomal RNA (253 nucleotides) under uncultured bacterium. RNAcentral's name for it is "partial 16S ribosomal RNA". It matches the Rfam family "Bacterial small subunit ribosomal RNA", at positions 524 to 776 of the family's 1533-position model. The record is from RNAcentral.